RNAcentral lists this long non-coding RNA (390 nucleotides) under Salvia miltiorrhiza (redroot sage). Its description in RNAcentral is "long non-coding RNA (SMIL_LNC003607)". Lineage: Eukaryota; Viridiplantae; Streptophyta; Magnoliopsida; Lamiales; Lamiaceae. The record is from RNAcentral.
CGGGCGCCGUGGGACGGCGGCCGCCGUGCCCAUUCUGCGAAAGGCCCUCACGGCGGCGCCGUUACACGGCGGCGGCCGCCUCUGUGCAGAUCCGACAGUACGAUUUUUCGAUUAAAAACCCCUUUCUAGGGUUUUACUUUAUCAUUCUCGUCUCCAGCAGCCUCCAUAGGCGAUUUUCACCUCUUUCUUAAGGUUUUUAGAGUUCCACAACACUUACCUUCAAUCUUGGAUUCAUUGGAUUGCUAUGUUUUGUAAGAACUCCCUUUGAUUCUCUUUGUUUAUGAAUCCUUUGGUUAUUUAAGUCUUUGUUUCUCUUGUCUUUAAUGAAUAUGAUGAUUGAAGAUUAUUGUUGUUGAUUCUAUAUUCUCUUGGUUUUAUGAAUCUUUUGGU